AUCCAACAUCAGAACAGUAUAUGAAUAUGGCAAAUGCUGUUUUGACAUCAUUUCCUGCCAUCCUGAGAAACAGUGAUUUCGAGGAGCAUGAAUUGCAGCUGCAAUGGAAAUUGCGCAUCCAGCGCAAGUUUCAGAAUUCAAGAAAGAGGCAGGAUUCCUCAGUGACUGAGGUGAUGUCAAGGAAAAAGAAGAUCCCUUGCAUAGCGCCAAAAGAGACUACGUGUCCACUGAUGUAUGGAGUAAAGGCUUACCUUCCACCAAGGCCCCAUUCAGAAGAUGAUAAGUCAUUAGAGAGACAUAGACAGUGGCCUGCUCUACAUUGGAUGAAGAAAGAUCCCGAGUUAGAUAAGCUAUCCAACAUCAGAACAGUAUAUGAAUAUGGCAAAUGCUGUUUUGACAUCAUUUCCUGCCAUCCUGAGAAACAGUGAUCUCGAGGAGCAUGAAUUGCAGCUGCAAUGGAAAUUGCGCAUCCAGCACAAGUUUCAGAAUUCAAGAAAGAGGCAGGAUUCCUCAGUGACUGAGGUGAUGUCAAGGAAAAAGAAGAUCCCUUGCAUAGCGCCAAAAGAGACUACGUGUCCACUGAUGUAUGGAGUAAAGGCUUACCUUCCACCAAGGCCCCAUUCAGAAGAUGAUAAGUCAUUAGAGAGACAUAGACAGUGGCCUGCUCUACAUUGGAUGAAGAAAGAUCCCGAGUUAGAUAAGCUAUCCAACAUCAGAACAGUAUAUGAAUAUGGCAAAUGCUGUUUUGACAUCAUUUCCUGCCAUCCUGAGAAACAAUGAUCUCGAGGAGCAUGAAUUGCAGCUGCAAUGGAAAUUGCGCAUCCAGCACAAGUUUCAGAAUUCAAGAAAGAGGCAGGAUUCCUCAGUGACUGAGGUGAUGUCAAGGAAAAAGAAGAUCCCUUGCAUAGCGCCAAAAGAGACUACGUGUCCACUGAUGUAUGGAGUAAAGGCUUACCUUCCACCAAGGCCCCAUUCAGAAGAUGAUAAGUCAUUAGAGAGACAUAGACAGUGGCCUGCUCUACAUUGGAUGAAGAAAGAUCCCGAGUUAGAUAAGCUAUCCAACAUCAGAACAGUAUAUGAAUAUGGCAAAUGCUGUUUUGACAUCAUUUCCUGCCAUCCUGAGAAACAGUGAUCUCGAGGAGCAUGAAUUGCAGCUGCAAUGGAAAUUGCGCAUCCAGCACAAGUUUCAGAAUUCAAGAAAGAGGCAGGAUUCCUCAGUGACUGAGGUGAUGUCAAGGAAAAAGAAGAUCCCUUGCAUAGCGCCAAAAGAGACUACGUGUCCACUGAUGUAUGGAGUAAAGGCUUACCUUCCACCAAGGCCCCAUUCAGAAGAUGAUAAGUCAUUAGAGAGACAUAGACAGUGGCCUGCUCUACAUUGGAUGAAGAAAGAUCCCGAGUUAGAUAAGAUAAUCAAGGAGUUCCUGAGAUUAGAACCACAAGCGGAUGAACCAGACCCAAGAGUAGCAGUUUUGAAAGGGCUGGAGAAAUAUAGGCUCCCAAUAAUUGCCAUUCUCAAAAAAAGAAAAGCAGUUCCUCUGUAUAUGGAAACCUUACUUGAACUCUAUGACCACGAUGAAAGUCAAUGCGAGUAAUGUCUAGUUCAAUUUGUUCAUUUCAGUAGCUGGUAGCAAUUUAAUAUAUGUAUCUUUUCAUCAUUAGCAAUGCAUCUUUCACUUUUAUAGGCCUAAUAUUCAUGAAACUAUGCUGCAUGCAAAAACCCAAACAUUGUAUUAAGCAUGACCUAUCUAACUGUAAUGCUUGCACCAAUUUCUAUAAAGGUACUAAUUUAAUUGUUAAAUUCCUGCUCUUCUAUCAAAUUUUUGGCUGAGUGCUAUGGCUAAAUAAUUGUUUGCAGCAUAAGUGAUGUUAAAGAUUUUAAUAGGUGUAAAGCAUCUCUCUCUCUCUCUCUCUCUCUCUCUCUCUCUCUCUCUCUCUCUCUCUCUCUCUCUCUCUCUCUCUCUCUCUCUCUCUCUUGUAAGGAAAGACAUUAUUUCUAGUGUAAAUAAACCCAAUAGGCUGUCCAAUUUGAAAUUUAAAAUGUAAAUAUUAUCAAUCUUUUUAGAAAUAUUAGCUGCAUCCUCUUCCCUUGCAGUCCAAUAAGACAGGUCACUAAUUCGUGUGGAGAUAGAAUUCUUGGAGUCACCUUUGCCGGCACUAGCGCAAGUGCAUACAGUCUGAUAAAGGUUUCUUCCAUGGUUGUGAUGAAGUUCAGGACUUCUCACACUGUUUCGAUAGAUAUGAUGAGAAGAAUCGGGAGUUCGGAACAUCAGUGCAUUAUGUCGGGGCAUGUAGGUUCGGCUGGGGUUUUCUUUCUUUCUUUCUUUUUUUUUUUUUUCGAUCACUACUCAUCAUAUUCUUACGAGGACUUGCUACACAAAGGAUUAUUGCAUUAUGAUAUUACCCAAAUAGUGUCUCAAGUAAAAAACAUAACCGCAUACUCGUACAAAAGAUUUGCUGCUGUGACACAAAGGACAAAAAUCAUUAGUGUACUGGUCGUUCUAAGCAUUCAAUCAAAAUGCUUGUCAUUCAUAUAAUUAGUAGAACCAUCGAGGAGCUUUAUUUUUGUUAAUUCUUAUGUGAUAAAGCAAUAAUUACAGGAGACUUUUAAAAGAUUGGUACUUAAAUUAGUGGACUGUCCUAUUGGAUGUGACCAUAUCUUCACUUUUUCCUUACACAGUUAAUUUUCUUUUGUUUAUUUGAUUUACUUAUUAUCAUUUUUAUUUAUAUAUUUAUUUAUUUGCACCAGAUGCUUGCUUAGUUAUAUUGGGGUUACUUCACCUGCUUGGAGAAAGGAAAGACUCCAUUUUUACUAAGGUACCAGAAGAAGAACUAAGAACAGGGCAGUCUAGUGUGUAUUUGAUGGUGCAUCUGUAGCUGAACCAACAUGUAUUUCUAUGGCUGUAGUCUCAUUGGUAGCAGGGCUUUGUGUUUAAUAUUGAACACCCAAAAAAUUGUGAA
RNA transcript from Scylla paramamosain (green mud crab), 2958 nucleotides. RefSeq lists it as uncharacterized. The record is from RefSeq and is a predicted model, not a curated record. The transcript has 6 exons. Lineage: Eukaryota; Metazoa; Arthropoda; Malacostraca; Decapoda; Portunidae.